UACGGAGGUGGCAAGCGUUGUUCGGAAUAACUGGGCGUAAAGGAUGCGUAGGCGGUUAAACAAGUUAUAUGUUAAAUAUAUAGGCUUAACCUGUAGAAAGCAUAUAAAACUGUUUAACUAGAGUGCAGGAGAGGUAAGUGGAAUUCCUAGUGUAGCGGUGAAAUGCGUAGAGAUUAGGAAGAACACCAGUGGCGAAGGCGACUUACUGGACUGUAACUGACGCUGAGGCAUGAGAGCAUGGGGAGCAAACAGG
RNAcentral lists this ribosomal RNA (253 nucleotides) under uncultured bacterium. RNAcentral's name for it is "partial 16S ribosomal RNA". It matches the Rfam family "Bacterial small subunit ribosomal RNA", at positions 524 to 776 of the family's 1533-position model. The record is from RNAcentral.